AGCCGCAACCCCUAUCAUUACGUUGCCAUCAGGUAAUGCUGGGGACGUCUAAAGGAACUGCCUACGCAAGUAGUGAGGAAGGCGGGGGAUGACGUCAAAUCAGCACGGCCCUUACCGUCCAGGGCUACACACGUGCUACAAUGGCCGAUACAGAGGGCGAGCUACCUGGUGACAGGAUGCAAAUCUCCAAAGUCGGUCUCAGUUCGGAUCGGAGUCUGCAACCCGACUCCGUGAAGUUGGAUUCGCUAGUAAUCGCGCAUCAGCCAUGGCGCGGUGAAUACGUUCCCGGGCCUU
RNAcentral lists this ribosomal RNA (294 nucleotides) under uncultured Sphingobacteriales bacterium. RNAcentral describes it as "partial 16S ribosomal RNA". It matches the Rfam family "Bacterial small subunit ribosomal RNA", at positions 1094 to 1382 of the family's 1533-position model. Lineage: Bacteria; Pseudomonadati; Bacteroidota; Sphingobacteriia; Sphingobacteriales. The record is from RNAcentral.